UGCCAGCAACAGCAGACGAUGGAUCACGUCACCAGAGUCUACUGUACUAUACUACAGCGCUGGCGUAGAGCGAGCAGUGAACCGCCGCCAUUAGUCCUGCCACACUCACAACAAACAGCUUCACCGCAGCCUCACACCUUUCUUCCUCCAGCCAUGUCUAAGCCAUAUAUCAUUGACAAGUGCCCGGGGAGUGAACUCACUUUCACAAAUUGUGCUAUCUUCAGUACUGUUGACGAUUUUAUAACCAAGUCAAUCAAAUAUGUCAUCAUCAAAAAUCCUAGAGGUAUUGACUAUAAAAUCUCAGUCAUUCACAGUGACCAAGUGGGAAGAAGUCGUGUGACAUUUAAUGCAUUACAUAGGAACUGGGCAAGCCUUCCACUUAACCAAAAGGUGGAUGUGACUCCCAUUCCAGAAGGUUCCUUGGAUUCUAUUGAGUCUAUCAUUGUUGACAUUGAUUUCUUCAGCAAGAAGAAAAUAUCAAAUGAUCCCAUGGAUUCUGAAUGUAUUACGAAUGAGUUUAUUCAAAAGUUUACUGGGAUUUUAUUCUCAGUUGGAAUGCCAUUUGCGUUUGAGUUUGAAAUGAAGAAAACGGUCUUUUCAGCUUCUGUAAAAGAGAUUAAAGUGUUUGAUAUUGCAAACCAAGUGGGUGGCACAGCCGGUGUACGAGGGGGUAUUACUGGUAGAUUACUGAGUACAACUAAUAUCAAGUUCCUAGCUUCUGAACAUUCCGCGAUUGUUCUUGUUGGCAAGAACAAAGGGUACACAUCUGUGAUUUCUCCUGACUGGGACUUUACUAAGAUGGGCAUUGGUGGUCUGGACAAUGAAUUCUCCACCAUCUUCCGGAGAGCAUUUGCUUCUCGUGUUUUCCCACCAGAUAUUGUCAAACAGUUAGGUGUGCGUCAUGUGAAAGGAAUUCUGCUCUUUGGUCCUCCUGGUACUGGCAAAACUCUUAUUGCCAGGAAAAUAGGCCAAAUGUUGAAUGCAACAGAACCAAAGAUUGUAAAUGGUCCACAGAUCCUGGACAAGUAUGUCGGAGAGUCUGAAGCAAACAUCAGAAAAUUGUUUGCCGAUGCUGAAGAAGAAGAGAAAGCCCGUGGUAGUAACAGCCGUCUUCAUAUAAUUAUAUUUGAUGAAAUUGAUGCUAUUUGCAAGCAGAGAGGAACAGUGGGUGGAGGUACAGGUGUACACGACACAGUUGUCAACCAGCUUCUAACAAAGAUUGAUGGUGUCGAACAACUUAACAACAUUCUUGUCAUUGGUAUGACAAACCGAAGAGAUCUGAUUGAUGAUGCUCUCACCCGACCUGGACGAAUGGAGGUUCAAAUGGAGAUAGGUUUACCUGAUGAGAAAGGCAGAGUGGACAUUUUGAAAAUCCACACUAAGUCAAUGAGAGAAAGUAAACUGCUUCAUGACGAAGUUAACCUCAAAGAAAUUGCAAGUAAAACAAAGAACUUUAGUGGAGCUGAACUCGAAGGUCUUGUACGCUGUGCAGUUUCCACUGCUAUGAACAGUUUAAUAAAGGGCUCCAAUAAAGCAGAAAUUGAUCCUACAGAGGCAGAAAAUGUCAGAAUCACCCAUGAUGAUUUCCUAAGCUCAUUGGAUGAUAUCAAACCAGCAUUUGGUCGCAGCGAUUUCAACUUCAGCUCCUUCUUUCCAAAUGGUAUCAUUGAAUGGGGUGAUUCCGUUCGUGAGGUUCUCCAAUAUGGUAACCUACUAAUUUCUCAGAUCAAAAACAGCACAAAGACACCUCUUCUGACCAUGUUGCUACAUGGUGCCCCUGGUGCUGGAAAGUCAGCAUUUGCAGCCUAUCUGAUGGCCAACUCAGAUCUGCCUUUCGUCAAGAUCUGUUCCCCUGAGCAAAUGAUUGGAUACAGUGAAAUGGCCAAAGUUCAGUACAUUCGAAAGAUGUUUGAAGAUGCUUACAAGUCUCCUCUCAGCUGCAUUCUUCUUGAUGACAUUGAACGGAUUAUUGACUAUGUGGCUAUUGGUCCAAGAUUCUCCAACAAUGUACUACAAUGUCUCCUAGUCUUGCUCAAAAGAUGUCCUCCAAUGGGUCGACGUCUUCUCAUAUUUGGAACAACUGGCCUGAAAGAUGUUCUUACUGAGAUGGGAAUGUUAAAUGCUUUCAUGGCAAACCAACAUGUAUCAGUUUUAACAAAACCAGAUCAUGUUAUGGUGGCUUUACAAGAGUUGGAAAUAUUCAACUCAAAUGACUUGGAAAAGAUCAGAGACAGGAUCGGCGACAGAAGAUUCCAUUUACCAAUAAAGAAAUUGUUAAUGAUUGCAGAGUUUGCUAGGCAGGUUGAUGAAAAAGAACGACUUCAGCAGCUUCUACAUCGCUUCGAAGAUGAAGGAUGCAUGUUCUUAGACAAUAUGUAAAAAUAAAAGAGGUACAGAUUGUAGUGAAGGUGAAGGUCUAGGUUUUAAAUGAGGCAUAGUGGUAGAAUGGUAUUCAGAGAGAAAAGAGAGUAGUGAGUGAGAAGAAGGGACAUUCAAGGCGUUCAAUGCAACUGAAGUUUUUAGGUACAGCUUGAUGUAUUGGUGAAUAGACAGCAGCAUUGGAAAGCAUAAAGAUUGAAGUCAAGAAAAAGUUAGCUGACUCAGAGGACUAAAAGCCAUCAGGAUAUUGGAAAAGAGUUGCCUGUAUCAUAAGGAUUUGCACUGGGUAUCAAAAUGCCAACAUCAUGACCGCUGUGCCAUGCUUUGUGAACACUGAAACGGCUGUAAGGCAUGACACGGACAUCAUGCAAACUAAAUUCGCUCAAACUGCUAUAAUCAUUAAGUGCGUUUCCACUGAUGAUGGCACCAUGCCAUUUCAUAAGGCGGCGGGCUGGCAGAAACGUUAGAACGUCGGGCAAAAUGCUUAGCGGUAUUUCGUCUGCUGUUACGUUGUGAGUUCAAAUUCCGCCGAGGUCAACUUUACGUUUCAUCCUUUCGGGGUCGAUAAAUUAAGUACCAGUUGCACACUGGGGGUCGAUGUAAUCGACUUAAUCCAUUUGUCUGUCCUUGUUUGUUCCCUGUGUUUUGCCCUUUGUGGGUAAUAAAGAAAUAGGUACCAUGCCACCUCACAUCUUUGAACUAGGCCUUAGACUCAAUUCAGACAGCUAUGUGAAGCUGCUGAAGACUGUGGUCAAACUCUGGUUGGAGAGGGUUGCUGCUUGAAGGUCACAUGUGUGACAGCAGAAUUCAGCUCUGAUUGUCAGAGAAUUUCUCCAACUUCACCACCGGCAUUGCGUGGAUAGUACAAAAUACAAGAGAGAGAGCUGCAUGUGGAUCGGACUGUUUACAACAUAACUUUGAACAAUCGAAGACUGGACAUGAAAUUCUUUGGAUAUUAACUUAUUUGCAAAUGGAUUGCUAAAAUAUCAAAUAUAUCCUUUAAUUGACUUAUAUAAAAUGCCUUUGGGUUUCAUAA
Molecule: RNA transcript, 3415 nt
Organism: Octopus sinensis (East Asian common octopus)
Lineage: Eukaryota; Metazoa; Mollusca; Cephalopoda; Octopoda; Octopodidae
Gene name: vesicle-fusing ATPase
Exons: 24
Source: RefSeq, a predicted model, not a curated record